Molecule: ribosomal RNA, 1074 nt
Filed under: Draculoides obrutus
Lineage: Eukaryota; Metazoa; Arthropoda; Arachnida; Schizomida; Hubbardiidae
Description: eukaryotic LSU rRNA
Rfam family: Eukaryotic large subunit ribosomal RNA
Source: RNAcentral
UCCCUUAGUAGCGGCGAGCGAACAGGGAAGAGCCCAGCGCCGAAUUCCGCGUCUCAAAGGGCGUUUGGAACAUGUGGCGUUUAGGAGGAAUCUCUCCGAGGGCAGACGGUGUCGCAAGUCCCCCUGAACGGGGCUGUGAUCCAGAGCGGGUGCGAGGCCCAUAGCUGGUACCGUCUCCUUUGGGUGUCCCCUCCUUGGAGUCGGGUUGCUUGGGAGUGCAGCCCUAAUUGGGUGGUAAACUCCACCUAAGGCUAAAUACGUCCGUGAGACCGAUAGCAAACAAGUACCGUGAGGGAAAGUUGCAAAGAACUUUGAAGAGAGAGUUCAAGAGUACGUGAAACCGCUCAGAGGCAAACGGGUGGGCCCACGAAAGCCGAAGGCGGGGGGAUUCAGUCGAGAGGACGGUGGGGCAGGACUGGCUGGUUGGACGGACCGUGCCAGGCCGGGUCAGUUCCCGAGAUCUGCCGCCUUUCGACGCAUUUCCCCCUGCUUAGUAGGACGCCGCAACCGGUUGGUGCUGCAGCCAUAAGGGAGAGUAAAUGGAAGGUAGCCAGUGAGUUCUUCUUCGGAGGCGCAAGCUGGUCCUAAGCCGACUCUCCUGGUGCUUGUGGCCCGACCGUGGUCGUGAGUCCCUCAACGGGAUGUCGCCGAGCCCUCUGACUGGAGCGGGAGAAAUGGCAGGCUGCUUUCCGCGGAAAAAAUCGAUCGCUUCACGCGUGCAGUGGGCGAUCUCCGGAGGUAGCUGCUGGUGCAUUUUUCUCCUGCGCUGGGCACAGGCAGUUGGCGGCGAGUAGGUCGGUCACCCACCCGACCCGUCUUGAAACACGGACCAAGGAGUCUAACAUGUGCGCGAGUCAUUGGGUCUUGAACAAGCCCAAAGGCGCAAUGAAAGUGAAGACCAGCACUGAAGCUGGUGGAGUUGGGAAACUGUGUCACUGAAGAUGCAGUUGCACCAACGGCCCGUCCCGUCCGCAUCGUCGGUGGGGCGGAGCGAGAGCGUACACGUUGGGACCCGAAAGAUGGUGAACUAUGCCUGGGCAGGACGAAGCCAGAGGAAACUCUGGUGGAGGUCCG